UACGGGGGGAGCAAGCGUUGUUCGGAUUUACUGGGCGUAAAGGGCGCGUAGGCGGCCACCGCAAGUCGACUGUGAAAUCUCUGGGCUUAACCCAGAACGGUCAGCCGAUACUGCGGGGCUAGAGUGCAGAAGGGGCAACUGGAAUUCUCGGUGUAGCGGUGAAAUGCGUAGAUAUCGAGAGGAACACCUGCGGCGAAGGCGGGUUGCUGGGCUGACACUGACGCUGAGGCGCGAAAGCUAGGGGAGCGAACGGGAUUAGAAACCCCCGUAGUCC
This 274-nucleotide ribosomal RNA is filed under the name uncultured bacterium. Its description in RNAcentral is "partial 16S ribosomal RNA". It matches the Rfam family "Bacterial small subunit ribosomal RNA", at positions 524 to 796 of the family's 1533-position model. The record is from RNAcentral.